GUAUCUAUCUCUGAAAACGUCAAUAAAAUAUCGGAAAUACAACACAAUUUAAAACAAGAAAGCAACAAUACAUCUACUUCUGUCUCAGAAAUCCUUAAACUUACUUGAUUAUGGAAUAGGGAAAUCAACCUAACGAGGACAUACAUUUUUCAGCACUACAGAAGUUGUAGAGAGAAGCUUCCUUCAUGUUUUCAACCAAACAUCACAUCAAAUCCUGCAAAUCCUCCAGAUAACAGCCAAACCAGAAAUAUUUCUUUCAGGCAAGGACGGCAUCCACCAUUUUCUCUAGUACUGCUUAGAAGGAUCGAAUUCAUCUUCAUUUUGUGCAAGGUCAUUGCUUCCACCAACAUCCUUGACAUCCUGAUGAUUACUACCGUUAUCUGCCUUUUCCCUGUCCCUGUUCCACUGUUCAAUCUUAGCCCGUCUUUCAGCACUACUUUCCCUAACCGGACUUCUAUUCCUCCUCCCUCCAGGGCUCCGACUCCGUCCUCCUCUAUGCCUAGGGCUACGGCUUCUAGGCCUCCUGCUUCUAUCAUGAUACCGAGGGUCCUUAUCUCCAUCUCUUCUACUAGGUCCACGUCCACGACCACCACCGUGGGGACGUUCAUCAUAUCCAUGAUGCUUGUGGGGGCUGCGACUUUGACUUCGGCUUCGGCUACGCCUGCGCCUGCUCCUCCCAAAUAAACGUCUUCUCAACUCUCUGCUUAUCUUCUUCAGAUGCAUAAAGUUACAAUAGCCACCACGGUUACAUACGUUUUCCUCAUACUGCCUGCAAGUAGCUUCUCGAAAAUCCGUCACAGGAGAGAAGUCAACAAUGAU
RNAcentral lists this unclassified non-coding RNA (819 nucleotides) under Hevea brasiliensis (rubber tree). Lineage: Eukaryota; Viridiplantae; Streptophyta; Magnoliopsida; Malpighiales; Euphorbiaceae. The record is from RNAcentral.